CGUCUAGGCGGACAGGUCAGUCAGUUGUGAAAUCCCUCGGCUCAACCGAGGAACUGCAGCUGAUACUGCCUGUCUUGAGGACGAGAGGGGAGAGUGGAACUCCUGGUGGAGCGGUGAAAUGCGUAGAUAUCAGGAGGAACGCCGGCGGCGAAAGCGACUCUCUGGCUCGUUCCUGACGCUGAAGCGCGAAAGCCAGGGGAGCGAACG
Molecule: ribosomal RNA, 207 nt
Filed under: uncultured bacterium
Lineage: Bacteria
Description: partial 16S ribosomal RNA
Rfam family: Bacterial small subunit ribosomal RNA
Source: RNAcentral